UACGUAGGGGGCAAGCGUUGUCCGGAUUUACUGGGCGUAAAGAGCGUGUAGGCGGCCCGGUAAGUCCGCUGUAAAAGUCAAAGGCUCAACCUUUGAAUGUCAGUGGAUACUGCCGGGCUAGAGUCCGGAAGAGGCGAGUGGAACUCCUGGUGUAGCGGUGGAAUGCGCAGAUAUCAGGAAGAACACCAACGGCGAAGGCAGCUCGCUAGGACGGUACUGACGCUGAGACGCGAAAGCGUGGGGAGCGAACAGG
This 253-nucleotide ribosomal RNA is filed under the name uncultured bacterium. RNAcentral describes it as "partial 16S ribosomal RNA". It matches the Rfam family "Bacterial small subunit ribosomal RNA", at positions 524 to 776 of the family's 1533-position model. The record is from RNAcentral.